This 870-nucleotide ribosomal RNA is filed under the name uncultured archaeon. Its description in RNAcentral is "bacterial SSU rRNA". It matches the Rfam family "Archaeal small subunit ribosomal RNA", at positions 27 to 900 of the family's 1478-position model. The record is from RNAcentral.
CCGCUAUUGGAGUUCGAUUAAGCCAUGCGAGUCGAGAGUCCUCGGGACUCGGCGUACCGCUCAGUAACACGUGGGUAACCUGCCCUAUGCUGGGGAAUAACCUCGGGAAACUGAGAAUAAUGCCCCAUAGCCCACUACGCCUGGAACGGUGAGUGGGUCAAAGCUCCGGCGGCAUAGGAUGGGCCUGCGCCGUAUCAGGUUGUAGGGGGUGUAAAGUACCCUCUAGCCAUCAACGCGUACGGGUGUUGGGAGACAUUGCCCGGAGAUGGAUUCUGAGACACGAAUCCAGACCCUACGGGGUGCAGCAGGCGCGAAAACUUGGCAAUGCGAGCAAAUCGUGACCAGGGAACUCCAAGUGCGUAGGGUAAGACCUACGCUUUUCUUGACUCUUCAAAGGUCUUUGGAAUAAGGGGUGGGUAAGGACGGUGCCAGCCGCCGCGGUAAUACCGGCGCCUCAAGUGGUAGUCGCUUUUAUUGGGCCUAAAACGUCCGUAGCCGGUCUGGUGCAUUCGUGGGUAAAUCAACCCGCUCAACGGGUUGAAUUCUGCGAGCACGGCCAGACUUGGGACCGGGAGAGGUGUGGGGUACUCUCAGGGUAGGGGUAAAAUCCUGUCAUCCUGAGAGGACCACCUGUUGCGAAGGCGCCACACUAGAACGGAUCCGACGGUCAGGGACGAAACCUAGGGGCACGAACCGGAUUAGAUACCCGGGUAGUCCUAGGUGUAAACGCUGUGGACUUGAUGUUGGGGGCGCUCCGAGCGCUCUCAGUGUCGAAGCGAAGGUGAUAAGUCCACUGCCUGGGGAGUACGGUCGCAAGGCUGAAACCUAAAGGAAUUGGCGGGGGAGCACUGCAACCUGAGGAUUGUGCGG